RNAcentral lists this ribosomal RNA (305 nucleotides) under uncultured bacterium. RNAcentral describes it as "bacterial SSU rRNA". It matches the Rfam family "Bacterial small subunit ribosomal RNA", at positions 338 to 658 of the family's 1533-position model. The record is from RNAcentral.
CCUACGGGGGGCAGCAGUGGGGAAUAUUGGGCAAUGGGCGCAAGCCUGACCCAGCAAUGCCGCGUGAAGGAAGAAGGCUUUCGGGUUGUAAACUUCUUUGACCGGGGAAGAGCAGAAGACGGUACCCUGAAAACAAGCCACGGCUAACUACGUGCCAGCAGCCGCGGUAAUACGUAGGGGGCAAGCGUUAUCCGGAUUUACUGGGUGUAAAGGGAGCGUAGACGGCCAGACAAGUCUGAAAUGAAAAUCCAGCGCUUAACGUUGGAAGUGCUUUGGAAACUGCCGGGCUAGAGUGCAGGAGGGGG